UCUAAAGUGUUGAAGAGGAAAAGUAAAAAAAUGAUGCUGAAAGAGAGAACCAUCACCGGCUGAAAGUGGUUUAAGCUUCUCAUUUUUUGAAAUGCACCUCUGAGUCCCGUUUCGAAAGAGUCCACUCUAGUAGAUAUGGGCGGAACCUAUCCGUUAACAGGCAGAGUGAGACCAGUAUCUAGCUUCAAUUUCUGAUGAGCUAAACCGGUCUAAUCAGAGUGGAACCACGCACAAGCGUCUCUGUC
RNAcentral lists this non-coding RNA (245 nucleotides) under Neobacillus vireti. RNAcentral's name for it is "Bacillus vireti T-box sequence". It matches the Rfam family "T-box leader". Rfam says of the family: Uncharged tRNA acts as the effector for transcription antitermination of genes in the T-box leader family. T-boxes are found upstream of many aminoacyl-tRNA synthetase genes and some amino acid biosynthetic genes usually in Gram-positive bacteria. The anticodon of a specific tRNA base pairs to a specifier sequence within the T-box motif, and the NCCA acceptor tail of the tRNA base pairs to a conserved bulge in the T-box antiterminator hairpin. The record is from RNAcentral. Lineage: Bacteria; Bacillati; Bacillota; Bacilli; Caryophanales; Bacillaceae.